RNAcentral lists this long non-coding RNA (1234 nucleotides) under Trifolium pratense (red clover). RNAcentral's name for it is "long non-coding RNA (TPRA_LNC011575)". The record is from RNAcentral. Lineage: Eukaryota; Viridiplantae; Streptophyta; Magnoliopsida; Fabales; Fabaceae.
GUCCAACUAACAAUUGAAGUAUCAUAAAAUGAUCAAUAUUUAUACUUUUACAAUGUAUCACACCAAUCAAUUAUUGUCUAAUACUCUUAUAAAUUAAGUAUUAGACAUUGCGGGAAAGAAAGCUCCAGUCUUCUCAACACUCAAGUUCUACUAGGUGAAGCAAUCUAACAAAACAAAGAGAUUGGAUCCCCUUCCCUUAUACAUUGAGAUAGGAGCUAUUCAUUCAAAGCAUUGAUAAAAUAAAAAAAAUGAAACUCCACAUUAAGUUAAGAAAUUUAGAAGCAAAGGUAAUGUUCUUUCUCUAGAGUAUCCUUAAAAAAAGUUUUAGUUAACAUGAAAUUUUGUUGCGGAAUUGGUUCGACGGCGCUUCAAACGGUUUUCAAUUGGAAUACACAUCUGAUCUUGAAUUGCUUUGGUUUGUCUUGGUUCUGCUUUAAGGAUCAUCUCGGUCUGCUGCGGCGUAGUUGAUCAUGUGGCGGUUUUCUAAGUGUGGAGUCCAGGCUGCGUAGGUAUGUGCCGUGAUCUUAUAAUCGGAGGCCAAACACCCUAAAAUUUGAGCUUCAUUUAGUAGCAGGUCUUUUUUAUCCAUGGUUCGGAUGUUGUUUUUCAAAUCUAAGAAUACUUUUCUAACACACUUUGGAGUAUAAAAUUAGAGCUUGAUCAUAUCUCACAUGCUUCUUAAUGUUUAAUUUGACAGAUGUAGCAUUAUAAACAUGUUUCAAAGUUAAUUUAAUAAUUAUUAGGUAGUUUGUAUUAACAAUAUCUUCUCUUAUAUAUGUGUUUUUAUUUAAAAAUCUAAUGAUUAGACUCGCAUUAUAAACAUGAAAAAAAUAGAAAAUUUGGAGAUUGAACUUCAAUCCCUACAAUAUUAGGUUAUUUAUUUUGGUACCGAAGGAGUAAUAUUUAAUUGUGCAAAAUAAGCAAACAGAGUGCGGACUGAUAAAAGAAAGGAAAGUGGUAGUUAAACAUUUAUAAAAAGCAUAAUCGGUUAAAUUGAAUUGAAAAAUAUAAAAGGAAAGAGCAUCAGAGUCAUGGAAGUAUGAGAUUAAACAUCGCACGCAUAUACACGAGCUUCUCAUAAUCAAAGAAUAAACACUCAUCACUUGCUACUUCCUCAAGCAUCAAUAAUACUAUAUAUGGUUUCAUGAUUAGAACUACUGAAAAAAAUUGCAAAAAAAAAAGUUAAAUUUGUUUUUGAAAAGUCAUAGCUUAAAAUGAGAAAAAUGUAAAGGAA